GUUAAUAUCUUCGCAUUCGGAAAUUUAAAAUUCCAAGCUAAUCAUAUGCAGACAAAUCUAUCUUCCCCUCUUCAAUUUUCAUAGCAAGGCUGGACGGCACAUAGGUGGAAAGUGGAAACUAUGAUGGACACAAGGAAAUGUGGCAAGAAAGUUCAUCUGAAAAAUCUAAGUAACUUCUUUAAAAUUUCAAAGGAAUAAUAUGCUAAAAAAAUUCAUAAACUGUAAACACAAUCUAUUCUGACUCUGUUUACUGCUUAGCUCUAAAACAGUACUUUCUUUCAACUACUUCCAAAAGAAUGAGCUCAUAGGAAUAUAGUAUAUUAUUAUACAUGAAAUUAAGUCAAAUUAACAGAUUUCCCAAUCUACUAGUUGCUUUAUGGGCUAUCAGAAUCUUACGAA
RNAcentral lists this unclassified non-coding RNA (399 nucleotides) under Hevea brasiliensis (rubber tree). The record is from RNAcentral. Lineage: Eukaryota; Viridiplantae; Streptophyta; Magnoliopsida; Malpighiales; Euphorbiaceae.